AGUCGAACGAAGCACUUAAUCGAUUUCUUUGGAUUGAAAUUUUAGUGACUGAGUGGCGGACGGGUGAGUAACGCGUGGGUAACCUGCCUCACACAGGGGGAUAACAGUUGGAAACGGCUGCUAAUACCGCAUAAGCGCACAGUACCGCAUGGUACAGUGUGAAAAACUCCGGUGGUGUGAGAUGGACCCGCGUCUGAUUAGCUAGUUGGCAGGGCAACGGCCUACCAAGGCGACGAUCAGUAGCCGACCUGAGAGGGUGACCGGCCACAUUGGGACUGAGACACGGCCCAAACUCCUACGGGAGGCAGCAGUGGGGAAUAUUGCACAAUGGGGGAAACCCUGAUGCAGCGACGCCGCGUGAGCGAAGAAGUAUUUCGGUAUGUAAAGCUCUAUCAGCAGGGAAGAAGAAAUGACGGUACCUGACUAAGAAGCACCGGCUAAAUACGUGCCAGCAGCCGCGGUAAUACGUAUUGGUGCAAGCGUUAUCCGGAUUUACUGGGUGUAAA
RNAcentral lists this ribosomal RNA (506 nucleotides) under uncultured Lachnospiraceae bacterium. RNAcentral describes it as "bacterial SSU rRNA". It matches the Rfam family "Bacterial small subunit ribosomal RNA", at positions 60 to 564 of the family's 1533-position model. Lineage: Bacteria; Bacillati; Bacillota; Clostridia; Lachnospirales; Lachnospiraceae. The record is from RNAcentral.